RNAcentral lists this ribosomal RNA (468 nucleotides) under uncultured bacterium. Its description in RNAcentral is "partial 16S ribosomal RNA". It matches the Rfam family "Bacterial small subunit ribosomal RNA", at positions 28 to 507 of the family's 1533-position model. The record is from RNAcentral.
GACGAACGCUGGCGGCGUGCUUAACACAUGCAAGUCGAGCGGAAAGGCCCUGCUUUUGUGGGGUGCUCGAGUGGCGAACGGGUGAGUAACACGUGAGUAACCUGCCCUUGACUUUGGGAUAACUUCAGGAAACUGGGGCUAAUACCGGAUAGGAGCUCCUGCUGCAUGGUGGGGGUUGGAAAGUUUCGGCGGUUGGGGAUGGACUCGCGGCUUAUCAGCUUGUUGGUGGGGUAGUGGCUUACCAAGGCUUUGACGGGUAGCCGGCCUGAGAGGGUGACCGGCCACAUUGGGACUGAGAUACGGCCCAGACUCCUACGGGAGGCAGCAGUGGGGAAUAUUGCACAAUGGGCGGAAGCCUGAUGCAGCAACCCCGCGUGCGGGAUGACGGCCUUCGGGUUGUAAACCGCUUUCGCCUGUGACGAAGCGUGAGUGACGGUAAUGGGUAAAGAAGCACCGGCUAACUACGUG